This 301-nucleotide ribosomal RNA is filed under the name Rhizophagus aggregatus. RNAcentral describes it as "SSU rRNA". It matches the Rfam family "Eukaryotic small subunit ribosomal RNA", at positions 1426 to 1727 of the family's 1831-position model. Lineage: Eukaryota; Fungi; Glomeromycota; Glomeromycetes; Glomerales; Glomeraceae. The record is from RNAcentral.
CUUCUUAGAGGGACUAUCGGUGUUUAACCGAUGGAAGUUUGAGGCAAUAACAGGUCUGUGAUGCCCUUAGAUGUUCAGGGCCGCACGCGCGCUACACUGAUGAAGUCAUCGAGUUCAUUUCCUUCAUCGGAAGAUGUGGGUAAUCUUUUGAAACUUCAUCGUGCUGGGGAUAGAGCUUUGCAAUUAUUGCUCUUGAMCGAGGAAUCCCUAGUAAGUACAAGUCAUCAGCUUGUGCUGAUUACGUCCCUGCCCUUUGUACACACCGCCCGUCGCUACUACCGAUUGAAUGGCUUAGUGAGGC